This 491-nucleotide ribosomal RNA is filed under the name uncultured bacterium. Its description in RNAcentral is "partial 16S ribosomal RNA". It matches the Rfam family "Bacterial small subunit ribosomal RNA", at positions 29 to 506 of the family's 1533-position model. The record is from RNAcentral.
AGUGAACGCUGGCGGUAGGCCUAACACAUGCAAGUCGAACGGCAGCACAGUAAGAGCUUGCUCUUACGGGUGGCGAGUGGCGGACGGGUGAGGAAUACAUCGGAAUCUACUUUUUCGUGGGGGAUAACGUAGGGAAACUUACGCUAAUACCGCAUACGACCUACGGGUGAAAGCAGGGGAUCUUCGGACCUUGCGCGAUUGAAUGAGCCGAUGUCGGAUUAGCUAGUUGGCGGGGUAAAGGCCCACCAAGGCGACGAUCCGUAGCUGGUCUGAGAGGAUGAUCAGCCACACUGGAACUGAGACACGGUCCAGACUCCUACGGGAGGCAGCAGUGGGGAAUAUUGGACAAUGGGCGCAAGCCUGAUCCAGCCAUACCGCGUGGGUGAAGAAGGCCUGCGGGUUGUAAAGCCCUUUUGUUGGGAAAGAAAAGCAGCAGGUUAAUACCCCGCCGUUCUGACGGUACCCAAAGAAUAAGCACCGGCUAACUUCGU